RNAcentral lists this ribosomal RNA (497 nucleotides) under uncultured bacterium. Its description in RNAcentral is "partial 16S ribosomal RNA". It matches the Rfam family "Bacterial small subunit ribosomal RNA", at positions 28 to 507 of the family's 1533-position model. The record is from RNAcentral.
GAUGAACGCUGGCGGCGUGCCUAAUACAUGCAAGUCGAGCGAACAGACGAGGAGCUUGCUCCUCUGACGUUAGCGGCGGACGGGUGAGUAACACGUGGAUAACCUACCUAUAAGACUGGGAUAACUUCGGGAAACCGGAGCUAAUACCGGAUAAUAUAUUGAACCGCAUGGUUCAAUAGUGAAAGACGGUUUUGCUGUCACUUCUAGAUGGAUCCGCGCCGCAUUAGCUAGUUGGUAAGGUAACGGCUUACCAAGGCAACGAUGCGUAGCCGACCUGAGAGAGUGAUCGGCCACACUGGAACGGAGACACGGUCCAGACUCCUACGGGAGGCAGCAGUAGGGAAUCUUCCGCAAUGGGCGAAAGCCUGACGGAGCAACGCCGCGUGAGUGAUGAAGGUCUUCGGAUCGUAAAGCUCUGUUAUUAGGGAAGAACAAAUGUGUAAGUAACUAUGCACGUCUUGACGGUACCUAAUCAGAAAGCCACGGCUAACUACGUG